Molecule: long non-coding RNA, 499 nt
Organism: Clupea harengus (Atlantic herring)
Lineage: Eukaryota; Metazoa; Chordata; Actinopteri; Clupeiformes; Clupeidae
Exons: 3
Source: RefSeq, a predicted model, not a curated record
UUAGGUGGACAGCAGGACUGUGUUGCCUUGUUUAAGGGUUACUGGUAUGAUGUCAACUGUGAUGGUUUAUUUUUUUCCAUAUGCGAGGGAGGAAACCCAAAUGAAAGAUACACUCUCAUAAACGAGGUCACGAAUUGGAAUGGUGCUCAGAAGUACUGCAGGUCAAAACACACGAACCUACUAAGAGUGAGGAACCAGAAUGAGAACAACAAGAUUAGUCAGAUUGCAAAGAAUAAAUGGGUGUGGAUCGGCCUGUUCAAAGGAUGGAAAUGGUCUGACCAAACUAACUCCGUAUUCACAUUCUGGAGACCAGGUAUACCUGAUAACUAUGGAGGGAACAAGGACUGCGCUGUAACAUGGCGAAAGGACGAAGGGAAAUGGGGAGACAGGAACUGUACUGAGAAACAUCUGUUCUUUUGCUACGAGAACAAGCUGGCCCUGAUCAGAGAGAAUAAGACCUGGAUGGAGGCAUUCAACUACUGUGAAAGUAAUGACAUGG